AAUUUUGAAACUGCUAUUUUGCCUUAUUUCCUAGGAAGUUGCAAAACACGUUUACCACACUAGAUAGUGGAGAGCUGCUUUAGCUUAAAAAAAAACACCAUAUACCCAUUGCAGAAGUUAGUAGCAUUAUUAUGUCCAAUUUUAGACUAAAAUGUAAGAACUAAGAAGCAAAAUAACUUACCCAAGUGAACACAACAACAUACUGUGACAACAGUUCUCUAAAAACCAACAUUUAUUGGCUGCCUAUUAUACUAUAUAUUAGGCAGCAUCAUAUCAUACAUAUUGAUACUUGAUAGUGUACAUAUAUAUAUAUAUAUAUAUAUAUAUAUAUAUAUAUAUAUAUAUAAUGCAAUUCUAAUUUAAACACAAAGUACAAGAUAACAAAGAGUACAAUUAAUAGUACAUAGUAUAGGGAUAUUACAUAUAUAUUGCCAAAGUUCCCCUGAGAACUUGAUUCACACACAAAGUGAAGUGAGUUCGAGGAAUUGGAAAAUGCCAAAGGAUGGAAGUUGCCCUUUUGAAGAGAAUUCGCCCUUAAGAAAAAGAACGGUUCAUUCCCAGCAAUCUUUCAACUUAUUACAUAAUAUUCAUGCUCCACCAUGAUUGAACCAAAAGGAAACACCGACAAAAAUGCACCAUAUGCAUCUCCACCACCUCCACUGCCACAGAGGCAGCGAGGGCUAUUAUUCGAGAAGGGGUGCAGUUUGGAGAGGGUUCGAGAAUGAAUGUUGGAUUGGGUGUUAUAGAAUGAAUUGAAAGUGUGAGAUGACUUAUGUAUAUAAUAGCUAUACAGUCUAGCUAGUGUGGGGGGGUGACUUUUUGUCAAAGGUAACAUAAACAAAACAGAAAAGGGUGAAAUGGAGAUUCUCAAUUGAGCAUCUUCCAAAGCAUAUGCCACUGCCACCUCCAUUGCUCUCCACAUCUGAUAUACACUUUUCCGUAAGGCAUCAUACGUAUUUUCUUU
Molecule: long non-coding RNA, 964 nt
Filed under: Glycine max (soybean)
Lineage: Eukaryota; Viridiplantae; Streptophyta; Magnoliopsida; Fabales; Fabaceae
Description: long non-coding RNA (GMAX_LNC004451)
Source: RNAcentral